UGAGGAAUAUUGGUCAAUGGUCGAGAGACUGAACCAGCCAAGUCGCGUGAAGGAAGACGGCCUUAUGGGUUGUAAACUUCUUUUGCAGGGGAAUAAAGACAGGCUCGUGAGCCUGGUUGUAUGUACCCUGCGAAUAAGCAUCGGCUAACUCCGUGCCAGCAGCCGCGGUAAUACGGAGGAUGCGAGCGUUAUCCGGAUUUAUUGGGUUUAAAGGGUGCGUAGGUGGGCUGAUAAGUCAGCGGUGAAAUUUUGGUUGCUUAACAAUAAAACUGCCGUUGAAACUGUCGGUCUUGAGUAUGGAUGAAGUAGGCGGAAUGCGUGGUGUAGCGGUGAAAUGCUUAGAGAUCACGCAGAACUCCGAUUGCGUAGGCAGCUUACUAAGGCAUAACUGACACUGAAGCACGAAAGCGUGGGUAUCAAACAGGAUUAGAUACCCUGGUAGUCCACGCAGUAAACGAUGAUUACUAGGAGUUUGCGAUAGACAGUAAGCUCUACAGCGAAAGCGUUAAGUAAUCCACCU
Molecule: ribosomal RNA, 520 nt
Filed under: uncultured bacterium
Lineage: Bacteria
Description: bacterial SSU rRNA
Rfam family: Bacterial small subunit ribosomal RNA
Source: RNAcentral